UCCGUCGGAUGAGGAUAGGCUCGCGUGACAUUAGCUUGACGGCGGGGUAACGGCCCACCGUGGCGACGAUGUCUAGGGGUUCUGAGAGGAAGGUCCCCCACACUGGAACUGAGACACGGUCCAGACUCCUACGGGAGGCAGCAGUGAGGAAUAUUGGUCAAUGGCCGGAAGCCUGAACCAGCCAUGCCGCGUGAAGGUCAGUGCCCUAUGGGCGUUAAACUUCUUUUGUGCGGGAGCAAUAAGGUCCACGUGUGGACCGACGAGAGUACCGUACGAAUAAGCAUCGGCUAACUCCGUGCCAGCAGCCGCGGUAAUACGGGGGAUGCAAGCGUUAUCCGGAUUUAUUGGGUUUAAAGGGUGCGUAGGCUGUGAGGUAAGUCAGCGGUGAAAUGCCCCCGCUCAACGGGGUGAAGUGCCAUUGAUACUGCCUUGCUGGAAUGCGGAUGCCGUGGGAGGAAUGUGUGGUGUAGCGGUGAAAUGCAUAGAUAUCACACAGAACACCGAUUGCGAAGGCAUCUCACGAAUCCGCUAUUGACGCUGAUGCACGAAAGCGUGGGUAUCAAACAGGAUUAGAUACCCUGGUAGUCCACGCUGUAAACGAUGAUGACUAACCGUCGGCGAUACACAGUCG
This 631-nucleotide ribosomal RNA is filed under the name uncultured bacterium. RNAcentral's name for it is "bacterial SSU rRNA". It matches the Rfam family "Bacterial small subunit ribosomal RNA", at positions 211 to 839 of the family's 1533-position model. The record is from RNAcentral.